UGCUGAGCUGGACUUUGUAUUUCCCAGCAUGAGUCUUACGUUGGACAUUCUUCAUGACAAGAUGAGUAUAGUGCUCAGUGUUUUCAAUAGUAAUGUUUUCUGAGUUUUGCAAAAGUUUCUGACCAUGGAACCAAGUCAUGGCAGGUACUGGACGACCAAUGUACAUAACAUGAAGCCGAAGUGUGGAACCCACAGCUCCAUAAUAUUUCUCUUUCAGUGGGUAACCAGGAUGGAACUGUGGUGUUGCUUGCAGGAGAAGCUUACUACUGGUUUCUACUUCUCCAACCUCAUUGGUGGCUAUGCAGGCACUGUCUCCAGACUGUCUAUAUUCAACCCAGUAUCCAAGAAUUUCUUUGCCACCAUCACAUUCAGGUUUCUCCCACUGUAGAGUGACACUAUCUUUGGAUAUUGAAAGAAUCUCAAGUUCUCCUGGUUGGCUUGGUUUAUCUGAAAUAUUUUAAAAUAAUGAAAAGGGAAUCAGCUUUACUGGUGAAAUAAAAGGACCAAACAUG
RNAcentral lists this non-coding RNA (512 nucleotides) under Pongo abelii (Sumatran orangutan). Lineage: Eukaryota; Metazoa; Chordata; Mammalia; Primates; Hominidae. The record is from RNAcentral.